GAUGAAGAACGUAGUGAAAUGCGAUAAGUAGUGUGAAUUGCAGAAUCCAGUGAAUCAUCGAAUCUUUGAACGCACAUUGCGCCCCUUGGUAUCCCGAGGGGCAUGCCUGUUCGAGCGUCAUUUCACCACUCAAGCCUGGCUUGGUGUUGGGCGACGUCCCCUUUGGGGACGCGCCUCGAAACGCUCGGCGGCGUGGCACCGGCUUUAAGCGUAGCAGAAUCUUUCGCUUUGGAAGUCGGGGCCCCGUCUGCCGGAAGACCUACUCGCAAGGUUGACCUCGGAUCAGGCAGGGAUACCCGCUGAACUUAAGCAUAUCAAUAAGCGGAGGA
This 329-nucleotide unclassified non-coding RNA is filed under the name soil metagenome. Its description in RNAcentral is "partial contains 5.8S ribosomal RNA, internal transcribed spacer 2, and large subunit ribosomal RNA". The stretch from base 1 to 120 matches the Rfam family "5.8S ribosomal RNA", at positions 35 to 154 of the family's 154-position model. The record is from RNAcentral.